CAGGGAUUUGAACCUCGCUUACGAGGUUUGGUGAUCCAUCUUCUGAGUAUCGCCGGGAUUUUGAAUCGCGAUGAUCAUCCCCUCCCUAGAGGAGCUGGACUCCCUCAAGUACAGUGACCUGCAGAACUUAGCCAAGAGUCUGGGUCUCCGGGCCAACCUGCGGGCAGACAAGUUGUUAAAAGCCUUGAAAGGCCACGUUAAACAUGAGGCAAGAAAAGAAAAUGAGAAUCAGGACGAAAGUCAAACUUCUGCAUCCUCUUGUGAUGAGACUGAGAUACAGAUGAGCAACCAGGAACAAGCUGAGAGAGAGCCAACUGGCCAUGUCACCAAAACAAGGAGAAGGCGCAGGACUGUCCGUGUGGACCCUGACUCGCAGAAUCUUGAAAAGCAGGAAAACCAGGAUCUCAGAGCUACUGCAAAUGUUCCUUCUCCACCAGAUGAGCACCAAGGAGCUGAGAAUGCUAUUUCCUCAGGUAAACGUAACAAAGAUUCAAAGGUACCUUCAAAAAGAAAGAAAUCUGUCUACACAGAUGAGUCAUCCAAACCUGGAAAAAAUAAAAGAACUGCAAUCACUAUUCCUACUCCAAACUUUAAGAAGCUUCAUGAAGCUCAUUUUAAGGAAAUGGAGUCCAUCGAUCAAUAUAUUGAGAGAAAAAAGAAACAUUUUGAAGAACACAAUUCCGUGAAUGAUCUGAAGCAUCCCAGCAAUAAGGGAGGGGUCAGGACUCCAGUACCUCCAAGAGGAAGACUCUCUGUGGCUUCUACUCCCAUCGGCCAACGACACUCGCAAGGCCGGUCUUGUGGCCCUGCAAGUCGGAGUACCUUGGGUCUGAAGGGGUCACUCAAGCGCUCUGCUAUCUCUACAGCUAAAACAGGUGUCAGGUUUUCAGCUGCUACUAAAGAUAAUGAGCAUAAGCGUUCACUAACCAAGACUCCAGCCAGAAAGUCUGCACAUGUGGCCGUGUCUGGGGGCACCCCAAAAGUUAUUACCCCAUUCAAGUUGACAACUGAGGCAACGCAGACUCCAGUCUCCAAUAAGAAACCAGUGUUUGAUCUUAAAGCAAGUUUGUCUCGUCCCCUCAACUAUGAACCACACAAAGGAAAGCUAAAACCAUGGGGGCAAGCUAAAGAAAAUAAUUAUCUAAAUCAGCAUAUCAACAGAAUUAACUUCUACAAGAAAACUUACAAACAACCCCUUCUCCAGACAAAGGAAGAGCAACGGAAGAAACGCGAGCAAGAAUGAAAGGAGAAGAAAGCAAAGGUUUUGGGAAUGCGAAGGGGCCUCAUUUUGGCUGAAGAUUAAUAAUUUUUUAACAUCUUGUAAAUAUUCCUGUGUUCUGAACUUUUUUCCUUUUGUAAAUUUUUUUUUUAUGUCUUCCCCACUUUAGUCACGAGAUCUUUUUCUGCUAACUGUUCGUAUUCUAUGUAGUGUCCAUGUAUGUAGUAUCCGUGGGUUCUUCAUGGGCUACAAUCUCUGAAAAGACAUUAUCACCUUAAAGCUCACAUUCUUUGGGAUAAUUUUUACUUAAGUCCCUAUAAAUUCAGGUUUCUAAUGAGACACAUCCUAAAAUUCUGUUCCUAGAUUUUUAAUGUUAAGUUUCCCCUGCUGGUUCUAAUAUUAAUAGAACCGCAGUCUUCUGCUAGUCUAUAGCAUUUAUCUAAUGGCAGCUAGUUAUACAAGCUUCAGGAGAAUUUAAACAAUAACAAGAAUAGGGUAAGCUGGGAUAGAAAGGCCACCUUUUCGGUCUCUAUAGAAUAUAGUAACCUUUAUGAAAUACGGGGCCAUAUGAUUUGGUUAUGACAUCAAUAUUUUACCUAGGUGAAAUUGUUUAGGCUUGUGCACCUUUGUUCAAAUAGCCUCAUGUAAUUGCCAUCUGUCACUCACUAUAUUUGCAUAAAUAAAACUCCACAACUCAUUCUAACAUUGCUUACUUGAAAGCUACG
Molecule: RNA transcript, 1944 nt
Organism: Rhinopithecus roxellana (golden snub-nosed monkey)
Lineage: Eukaryota; Metazoa; Chordata; Mammalia; Primates; Cercopithecidae
Gene name: nucleolar and spindle-associated protein 1 pseudogene
Exons: 1
Source: RefSeq, a predicted model, not a curated record